This 253-nucleotide ribosomal RNA is filed under the name uncultured bacterium. RNAcentral describes it as "partial 16S ribosomal RNA". It matches the Rfam family "Bacterial small subunit ribosomal RNA", at positions 524 to 776 of the family's 1533-position model. The record is from RNAcentral.
UACGAAGGGGGCUAGCGUUGUUCGGAAUUACUGGGCGUAAAGCGCGCGCAGGCGGCUAUCCAAGUCAGUGGUGAAAGCCCGGAGCUCAACUCCGGAACUGCCUUCGAAACUGGGAAUCUUGAGUCCGGGAGAGGUGAGUGGAACUGCGAGUGUAGAGGUGAAAUUCGUAGAUAUUCGCAAGAACACCAGUGGCGAAGGCGGCUCACUGGCCCGGUACUGACGCUGAGGUGCGAAAGCGUGGGGAGCAAACAGG